RNAcentral lists this ribosomal RNA (298 nucleotides) under uncultured Sphingomonadaceae bacterium. RNAcentral describes it as "partial 16S ribosomal RNA". It matches the Rfam family "Bacterial small subunit ribosomal RNA", at positions 111 to 426 of the family's 1533-position model. The record is from RNAcentral. Lineage: Bacteria; Pseudomonadati; Pseudomonadota; Alphaproteobacteria; Sphingomonadales; Sphingomonadaceae.
UAACGUGUGGGAAUCUGCCCCUUGCUUCGGAAUAACAGUUAGAAAUGACUGCUAAUACCGGAUGAUGACUUCGGUCCAAAGAUUUAUCGCUGAUAGAUGAGCCCGCGUACGAUUAGCUAGUUGGUGAGGUAAUGGCUCACCAAGGCUACGAUCGUUUGCUGGUCUGAGAGGAUGAUCAGCCACACUGGGACUGAGACACGGCCCAGACUCCUACGGGAGGCAGCCGUGGUGAGUAUUGGACAAUGGGCGAAAGCCUGAUCCAGCAAUGCCGCGUGAGUGAUGAAGGCCUUAGGGUUGU